CUGAACCAGCCAAGUAGCGUGAAGGAUGACUGCCCUAUGGGUUGUAAACUUCUUUUAUAAUGGAAUAAAGUCGGGUAUGUUUACCCGUUUGCAUGUACUUUAUGAAUAAGGAUCGGCUAACUCCGUGCCAGCAGCCGCGGUAAUACGGAGGAUCCGAGCGUUAUCCGGAUUUAUUGGGUUUAAAGGGAGCGUAGAUGGAUGUUUAAGUCAGUUGUGAAAGUUUGCGG
This 227-nucleotide ribosomal RNA is filed under the name uncultured Bacteroidaceae bacterium. Its description in RNAcentral is "partial 16S ribosomal RNA". It matches the Rfam family "Bacterial small subunit ribosomal RNA", at positions 383 to 607 of the family's 1533-position model. Lineage: Bacteria; Pseudomonadati; Bacteroidota; Bacteroidia; Bacteroidales; Bacteroidaceae. The record is from RNAcentral.